UGAGUAUUGAGAUGGAUAAAACGAAGGUGUU
RNAcentral lists this non-coding RNA (31 nucleotides) under Mus musculus (house mouse). The record is from RNAcentral. Lineage: Eukaryota; Metazoa; Chordata; Mammalia; Rodentia; Muridae.